UUAGGAAUCUUGGACAAUGGGCGCAAGCCUGAUCCAGCCAUGCCGCGUGAGUGAUGAAGGCCUUAGGGUUGUAAAGCUCUUUCAGCGGGGAAGAUAAUGACGGUACCCGCAGAAGAAGCCCCGGCUAACUUCGUGCCAGCAGCCGCGGUAAUACGAAGGGGGCUAGCGUUGCUCGGAAUCACUGGGCGUAAAGCGCACGUAGGCGGCUUUCUAAGUCAGGGGUGAAAUCCUGGAGCUCAACUCCAGAACUGCCUUUGAUACUGGGAAGCUCGAGUCCGGAAGAGGUGAGUGGAACUCCGAGUGUAGAGGUGAAAUUCGUAGAUAUUCGGAAGAACACCAGUGGCGAAGGCGGCUCACUGGUCCGGUACUGACGCUGAGGUGCGAAAGCGUGGGGAGCAAACAGGAUUAGAUACCCCCGUAGUCC
Molecule: ribosomal RNA, 424 nt
Filed under: uncultured bacterium
Lineage: Bacteria
Description: bacterial SSU rRNA
Rfam family: Bacterial small subunit ribosomal RNA
Source: RNAcentral